RNAcentral lists this unclassified non-coding RNA (19 nucleotides) under Mus musculus (house mouse). Its description in RNAcentral is "oocyte_clustered_small_RNA12151". The record is from RNAcentral. Lineage: Eukaryota; Metazoa; Chordata; Mammalia; Rodentia; Muridae.
UGUCGUUUUUCCUUGGGGA